RNAcentral lists this long non-coding RNA (2526 nucleotides) under Homo sapiens (human). RNAcentral describes it as "HSALNT0103286". The record is from RNAcentral. Lineage: Eukaryota; Metazoa; Chordata; Mammalia; Primates; Hominidae.
UGCGCUCCGGCCUUUCAGUGUCUCUGGUGAGGUUGGGCCUGAUAGGUUGAGAGCUGCCAGGGGAAGUUAAGGAUGACUUCCAAGUUUUGAGGAAGAAGACCAGCUACAAGGAAAUACUUCUGAAAAAUCACUCUGAACCCCAAGCUGGAGUGAAUCUUCUCCUGAGCUCUCUCAUUCCAGAAUGGCAAUCUUGUUUCAGGAGAGAUCUCUAAUAGUGACUGAUGGUAAAGGAAGAAGGCUGUGCCUAGAACAAAGAAUCAGGCUGGCAAAGAAAUCACAGGUCUUUCCUCAAACUUUAAAUUGCUACUCUCUGGAGAUAGCUACCUGGACUUUACAGAGCUGUCAGAAGACUUGGGAAGGUUUGCCAGCAUUGGAAAAAGCCACUUGGACUUCACAGAGCUGUCAGAAGACUUAGGAAGCUUUGCCAGUAGUUCCUGAGACCAGAAAUACAUAUUAUGAAGCAGGUGCUGGAACAGGCCCUGGCCCCUACUUGUGAAGCUGCAGAUAUAGAUGGUGUUACUGAGAAGGAAACUAAGGACUUGGCUCCAAAACAAAACAAAACAAAAUCUGGAGAUGCUGAAUUUUGUUGGGGGGAAUGUCUGUAGAACUGCAACAUCAAUGCAGUAAGUGUAGUAAAAGCUUUAGUUUAUGGUGAGUCAUUACUCAGCAUCAUGGAGUCCACGAUGAAGAGAAUCUCUUUUCAAUCUGUGCAAUCAACAAGUUUUUGAAAGGCUUUUGUUUAUAGUGGAACCCUCUUUUCCCCCUAGAAGAACCACCACAAGGAAAAAUGCUGUCACCAUAAGGAAUGUGGGAAAGUUUUCAGCCACAUGGCCUUAUUUGACUUCAAAGAAUCCACAUGAGAGAGAGACUGCAUAAAUGUAAUAACUGAGGAGGCCUUUGUUCAGCAAAGAAACCUUAUACAAACUCGUAUAAAGAAUGUAGGAAGACCUUCACCCAGAAGCCAGGACUGACUGUGCACCAGAGAAUCUGCACAAUAAACAUGAUGAAUGUGGAGAUGCUUGCUUCAGCAUUGGAGAAUUCACAGUAAAGGGAAACCCUGCCAGUGUGAUGAGUACGGAAAAGUCUUCAGAGGUUGGAACUUGGGAAAAAUCAGUGAGUGAAUUCAUAUUAGAGAGGCUCUUAUAAAUGAGAGGAUUGUGGAAACUUGUAUAGACAGAGAUCAGACCUCAACAAGGGAGCCUCCACAGUAUUGAAAAGUUAAUAUAAUUAAUGUAAGUGGGCAAGUUGUAUGGGGAAUGGGUAGUCUAAAUUGCUCAUUUUAGCCAGUAAAAACAUUAAAUUAGUUUCUUAGAUCAAGAAAAGGAAAUGUUAGAAGUUAUUUUUCCCUUCCAGAGGGGUCUAUAUGUGUAAGCAACCAGGACUUUUGAAAUAAGUUGCAUCUCUGGAUUUGUGAUCUGUCUCCUGGAUGAUUAUCUCUGUUUUGGGAGACAGGUAUUUUUUCUUCAUGCCUGCUCUAGUCUCAUCUCAUAUCUUUAAUUCAUUCAGCAAGUAUACACAAUAGUAUUAUCGUCUACUGUUUGUUGUAAAUAUAUAUAUAUUAUUUUCUUUUUGGUCUGAGUAGGCUUGUAUUGGUACCCUAGGACAUAAAAAUCACAUAUAUCAUGUUUCAGUAAAUGCAGUGAAAGGAACUAUAUUAUUAAAUUGCUGGGAAUUUCUGUAAAUUUGAGACUACCUUUAUAUUCUCCAACACAAGACCGUGUAGGUGUCCCUUCAGAGAGUAUAUUUUUCUAGCUUGGCUUCUUUAUUUUCUUUAUUUUUUUGAGAUGGAGUCUUGCUCCUGUCGCCCAGGCUGGAGUGCAAUGGCACGAUCUCGGCUCACUGCAACCUCCGCCUCCCAGGUUCAAGUGAUUCUCCUGUCUCAGUCUCCCGAGUAGCUGGGAUUACAGGCACUUGCCACCAUUCCCAGCUAAUUUUUGUAUUUUUAGUAGAGACGGGGUUUCACCAUGUUGGCCAGGCUGGUCUCGAACUCCUGACCUUGUGAUCUGCCCACCUUGGCCUCCCAAAGUUCAGGGAUUACAGGCAUGAGCCACCAUGCCCGGCUGUUUUUUUAAGAUAGAAAAAUAUACUUCAUGUAUAGCCUAUUGACAGAUAAUGACUGAUAUUUUUUCUUAUAGAUAACACAUAAUAAACAUUGUGAAGACUAAUAAGUAACUUGCUUAUUCUUUUCAGUUCUAAAACCUGUAGGAAAGAAUCUUUAGAAGCUGUCAACAAGUUGAUAAUGUAGCCCAAUCUCUACCCAUGAUAGGAGAGUAAGGCUUAUAUAUUUUAUAGUAGGGCACUAAAUACAGGAACCAUGUAUUUAAAAACUUUUUAGUGAUUAUCUCAGAAUUCUAGGUGUCCCUCUGCUGUACAUCCCUAAAUUUUUUGCAUAGGUAUUAUUAAUAAAUUCAUUAUUUUCAAAGAUGGACUGUGUUCUGUAAAAAGCUUUUCCAGUAUCUGCAAAUCACACAGUUUUUUUUAACUCUAUUACUAUUAUAUAAAAUGAUUUCUUAAUAUUGAACCAAC